Cyprinodon tularosa is the source of this 552-nucleotide long non-coding RNA. RefSeq lists it as uncharacterized. NCBI's taxonomy places the organism in Eukaryota, Metazoa, Chordata, Actinopteri, Cyprinodontiformes, Cyprinodontidae. The record is from RefSeq and is a predicted model, not a curated record. The transcript has 3 exons.
UUAGCAGUCUGGGGACUACACAAACUCCUGUGGCUGAUAAACUGCUGUGUCAUUUUCAUCCUGUUUCAGAGCCCUAAUAGAUGCCAAGCAGAUACAGAAAGCUGAACUUCGAGAUAAACGCAGGAGGAAGCAUUAAAGCGUGGAACUAUGCUGUGACUGAUCAUCUCUGGAGUGCGACAUGUUAUCAACUGGGUAGCCUCCUGUUGUUGCUGCACCGGGAAGGAUGGGCUGGUUUCAGACUGCCAGUGUAAAGGGCAGAAAGUGUGGACGGUCAACUGUGAUGGAAAACCCUCCCCUUCAUAAUGGAACCUACAGCAUCUACUGCUGUUAGACCGCCAUGUUUAGACAUCUGCUUUCCCUAAACUGUAGGUGGUGCUGGAGGCCUACUUGUUACAAUGACGACUUGUCUGAAAACUCCUUUUUCAGGAAGCCAGACAAUGUCUGACAGCUGACAAGUGUACAGUAGCAUCCUUUAAAUCUAAGAUAAAAAUGUCACUUUAUAAGCCCAAAAGUGCUGACCAAAAAAAACUAAUAAAAAAUUAUCUGGAUCAA